RNAcentral lists this unclassified non-coding RNA (1354 nucleotides) under uncultured Neocallimastigales. RNAcentral describes it as "partial contains internal transcribed spacer 1, 5.8S ribosomal RNA, internal transcribed spacer 2, and large subunit ribosomal RNA". The stretch from base 590 to 1354 matches the Rfam family "Eukaryotic large subunit ribosomal RNA", at positions 1 to 624 of the family's 3401-position model. Lineage: Eukaryota; Fungi; Neocallimastigomycota; Neocallimastigomycetes; Neocallimastigales. The record is from RNAcentral.
AAAAUAAUCCUACCCUUUGUGAAUUUUGUUUGUUUGAAUAAUUUUUUUUUUUAAAAAAUUAUUGGAGUCUUUCCCUUUAGUUUGCUUCUGAGUUUGUAAAAGAAUUCGAAAACAUCUAAAGGGGAUGGUCAAUAAUUUUUUUUGAAAAAAGACAUUUUUUAAAAUUAAACUUUUUGUAUUCAUUUGUCUAAAAAUUAUUUUUAUAAUAUAAAAACAACUUUUGACAAUGGAUCUCUUGGUUCUCGCAACGAUGAAGAACGCAGCAAAAUGCGAUAAGUAGUGUGAAUUGCAGAAUACGUGAAUCAUCGAAUCUUUGAACGCAUAUUGCACUUUUUUAGUUACUAAAAAGUAUGUCUGUUGAGUAUCAGUAAAAUAUUCUCAUAAAAAUCAUUGUAUUUUUAUGGUUAUGAGUGUUUUACAACGAUACAAGUUGUUUCACUUUAAAUUUUUUUUUAAUAUUGAAAUUUUUCUAAUUUUAAUAAUUAAAAUUGGAUAAAAUUUUCCCGUCAAAAGGAAUAACCUAAACAAUUUUAAACGAUUAAUUUUAGCAAAAUUUUCGUAAAAAAGGAAAAUUUUUAUUAAAAUAACUUGAUCUCAAAUCAGAUAAGAGUACCCGCUGAACUUAAGCAUAUCAAUAAGCAGAGGAAAAGAAACUAACAAGGAUUCCCUUAGUAACGGCGAGUGAAGCGGGAAGAGCUCAAAUUUGAAAUCUUCAAGGUUUUACCUUGACGAAUUGUAGUUUAAAGAAGUGUUUUCUGCUGAAGUUUUGGUAAAAGUUCUUUGGAAUAGGACAUCAUAGAGGGUGAGAAUCCCGUAUUUGACCAUUAUUUUCAGCUUUGUGAUACACUUUCAAAGAGUCGGAUUGUUUGGGAAUGCAGUCCAAAAUGGGUGGUAAAUUUCAUCUAAAGCUAAAUAUUGGCGAGAGACCGAUAGCGAACAAGUACCGUGAGGGAAAGAUGAAAAGAACUUUGAAAAGAGAGUUAAACAGUACGUGAAAUUGUCAAAAGGGAAGCGUUUGACACCAGUGUUGUUUUCUCGAAAAUCAAUUAAAAAUGGCUCGAUUUUGUAUUGCUGAGACCUUAAAAGCUCACUGUACAUUUUUCGUGUCUUUUUUAAUGCACUUUUCGUUUAGCAAGUCAACAUCAGUUUCUUUUGUUGUAAAAGGGUCAUUGGAAGGUGGCUUUCUUUUCGGAGAAAGUGUUUAUAGCCUUUGGCCUCUGCAAUCGGAGAGACUGAGGUCUGCAGCGUAGACUCUUCGGGGUUAGAUACAUUUGUGCUAAGUUAUAGCUUUUUAUAGACAACUUGUUGACUAUAAUUAGUCUUGUAGCUUACUCGCUUAUGCUAUUUUACCUAC